CCUGACUCCAGAGGCUUUGCAGGAAUGGCUUCUGUGUCACACUUUAAUCAAAGGUGGCAGAAAGGUAAGAGGCUGUGUCGUAGCUUAGUGUUCUGACUGAUUAAAAACAUCUGAGUGAUUAGUCGCUUUACAAG
Molecule: small nucleolar RNA, 134 nt
Organism: Grammomys surdaster
Lineage: Eukaryota; Metazoa; Chordata; Mammalia; Rodentia; Muridae
Product: small nucleolar RNA SNORA17
Exons: 1
Source: RefSeq, a predicted model, not a curated record